GGAGGUUGAACAUCCUGCAUAGUGCUGCCAGGAAAUCCCUAUUUCAUACUAAGAGGGGGCCAGCUGGUUGCAUAUGUAGGAUGUCCCAUCUCCCGGCCCACUUCGUC
Molecule: microRNA precursor, 107 nt
Filed under: Ictidomys tridecemlineatus (thirteen-lined ground squirrel)
Lineage: Eukaryota; Metazoa; Chordata; Mammalia; Rodentia; Sciuridae
Description: microRNA 448 (ENSSTOG00000016604.2)
Rfam family: mir-448 microRNA precursor family
Source: RNAcentral